CUGAAGCAAUAAUUUGAGAAGUGUUACAAAUCGUUGUACAGAUUGGCUGGCAAAUGCCCAGAUCGUAUCAAAAGCUGCGACUCAUCUUAGAACCGGCUAUUGUAAUUACUAAAUCAACAAAAUUUCGUUCAAUAGCUAACCUACAGUUCUGAAGCGAUAAUUUGAGAAGUAUUAUAAGUCGUUAUAUUGGUCCUAUAAAUUAAGGAUGGCAAAUAGAUC
Molecule: long non-coding RNA, 219 nt
Filed under: Elaeis guineensis (African oil palm)
Lineage: Eukaryota; Viridiplantae; Streptophyta; Magnoliopsida; Arecales; Arecaceae
Description: long non-coding RNA (EGUI_LNC037134)
Source: RNAcentral